Molecule: ribosomal RNA, 253 nt
Filed under: uncultured bacterium
Lineage: Bacteria
Description: partial 16S ribosomal RNA
Rfam family: Bacterial small subunit ribosomal RNA
Source: RNAcentral
UACAUGUGGGGCAAGCGUUGUUCGGAAUUACUGGGCAUAAAGGGUGCGUAGGUGGCUUGUUAAGUCAGGGGUGAAAGUUUUCGGCCCAACCGGAAAAUGGCCUUUGAUACUGGCGAGCUCGAGUGCGUGAGGGGUAACCGGAACGAGCAGUGUAGCGGUGAAAUGCGUAGAUAUUGCUCGGAAGGCCAACGGCGAAGACAGGUUACUGGUGCGCAACUGACACUAAGGCACGAAAGCGUGGGGAGCAAACAGG